Molecule: ribosomal RNA, 549 nt
Filed under: uncultured archaeon
Lineage: Archaea
Description: bacterial SSU rRNA
Rfam family: Archaeal small subunit ribosomal RNA
Source: RNAcentral
UGUGAGAGCAAGAGCCCGGAGAUGGAUUCUGAGACACGAAUCCAGGCCCUACGGGGUGCAGCAGGCGCGAAAACUUUACAAUGCUGGCAACAGCGAUAAGGGAACCUCGAGUGCCAGGUUACAAAUCUGGCUGUCGAGAUGCCUAAAAAGCAUUUCAUAGCAGGGGCCGGGCAAGACCGGUGCCAGCCGCCGCGGUAACACCGGCGGCUCGAGUGGUAACCGUUAUUAUUGGGUCUAAAGGGUCUGUAGCCGGCCGGAUAAGUCUCUUGAGAAAUCUGGCAGCUUAACUGUCAGGCUUUCAGGAGAUACUGUCUGGCUCGAGGCCGGGAGAGGUGAGAGGUACUUCAGGGGUAGGGGUGAAAUCUUGUAAUCCUUGAAGGACCACCAGUGGCGAAGGCGUCUCACCAGAACGGACCUGACGGCAAGGGACGAAAGCUAGGGGCACGAACCGGAUUAGAUACCCGGGUAGUCCUAGCCGUAAACGAUACUCGCUAGGUGUCGGCCACGGUGCGACCGUUGUCGGUGCCGUAGGGAAGCCGUGAAGCGAGC